Molecule: ribosomal RNA, 229 nt
Filed under: uncultured bacterium
Lineage: Bacteria
Description: partial 16S ribosomal RNA
Rfam family: Bacterial small subunit ribosomal RNA
Source: RNAcentral
UGCGUAGGCGGACUAAUAAGUCAGUGGUGAAAUCUCUCGGCUCAACCGGGAAACUGCCAUUGAUACUGUUAGUCUUGAGUUCGGUUGAGGUAGGCGGAAUGUGUAAUGUAGCGGUGAAAUGCUUAGAUAUUACACAGACCACCAAUUGCGUAGGCAGCUUACUAGACCGACACUGACGCUGAGGCACGAAAGCGUGGGUAGCGAACAGGAUUAGAUACCCUGGUAGUCC